This 400-nucleotide ribosomal RNA is filed under the name Acinetobacter baumannii. RNAcentral describes it as "bacterial SSU rRNA". It matches the Rfam family "Bacterial small subunit ribosomal RNA", at positions 1066 to 1471 of the family's 1533-position model. The record is from RNAcentral. Lineage: Bacteria; Pseudomonadati; Pseudomonadota; Gammaproteobacteria; Moraxellales; Moraxellaceae.
UGGGGAGUGUUGGGUAAGUCCCCCAAGAGCCCAACCCUUUUCUUACUUGCAACAAUUUCGGAUGGGAACUUUAAGGAUACUCCAGUGACAAAACUGAGGAAGGCGGGGGCGACGUCAAGUCAUCAUGGCCCUACGGCCAGGGCUACACACGUGCUACAAUGGUCGGUACAAAGGGUUGCUACACAGCGAUGUGAUGCUAAUGAAAAAAAGCCGAUCGUAGUCCGGAUUGGAGUCUGCAACUCGACUCCAUGAAGUCGGAAUCGCUAGUAAUCGCGGAUCAGAAUGCCGCGGUGAAUACGUUCCCGGGCCUUGUACACACCCCCCGUCACACCAUGGGAGUUUGUUGCACCAGAAGUAGCUAGCCUAACUGCAAAGAGGGCGGUACCAUCGGUUGACCAAG